RNAcentral lists this ribosomal RNA (548 nucleotides) under Epicauta pensylvanica (black blister beetle). Its description in RNAcentral is "partial 16S ribosomal RNA". It matches the Rfam family "Bacterial large subunit ribosomal RNA", at positions 1797 to 2619 of the family's 2925-position model. The record is from RNAcentral. Lineage: Eukaryota; Metazoa; Arthropoda; Insecta; Coleoptera; Meloidae.
CGCCUGUUUAUCAAAAACAUGUCUUUUUGUUAAUUAUUUAAGGUUUGGCCUGCUCAAUGAAUUAUUAAAUAGCCGCAGUAUUUUGACUGUGCAAAGGUAGCAUAAUCAUUAGUUUUUUAAUUGAAAGCUGGAAUGAAGGGCUGGAUGAGAAAAAAGCUGUCUCAUAUUAAUUUUCAUUUAAUUUUAUCUUUAAGUUAAAAAGCUUGGAUUUUAUAAAAAGACGAGAAGACCCUUUAGAGUUUAAUAAAUAUAGAUUUCAAUUGUAUGAGGUUUACUAUUAUUAUUAAAGUUUAAUUUAUUUUGUUGGGGUGACACAAGAAUUGAAUUAACUUCUUUUUAUGUUAACAUUGAUAAAUGAAUAAAUGAUCCUUCAGUUUGGAUUACAAGAAUAAAUUACCUUAGGGAUAACAGCGUAAUUCUUUUAGAGAGUUCAAAUCAAUAAAAGGGAUUGCGACCUCGAUGUUGGAUUAAAGUAAAAUUUAGGCGCAGAAGCUUAAGUUUUGAGACUGUUCGACUUUAAAAACUUUCGUGAUCUGAGUUCAGACCGG